Molecule: ribosomal RNA, 467 nt
Filed under: uncultured bacterium
Lineage: Bacteria
Description: partial 16S ribosomal RNA
Rfam family: Bacterial small subunit ribosomal RNA
Source: RNAcentral
GACGAACGCUGGCGGCGUGCUUAACACAUGCCAGUCGAACGAUGACGACCGAGCUUGCUCGGUCUGAUUAGUGGCGAACGGGUGAGUAACACGUGAGCAACCUGCCCUUCACUCUGGGAUAACCUCGGGAAAUCGGGGCUAAUACCGGAUAUGAGCUCCUGUCGCAUGGCGGGUGUUGGAAAGUUUUUCGGUGAAGGAUGGGCUCGCGGCCUAUCAGUUUGUUGGUGAGGUAGUGGCUCACCAAGGCGAUGACGGGUAGCCGGCCUGAGAGGGCGACCGGCCACACUGGGACUGAGACACGGCCCAGACUCCUACGGGAGGCAGCAGUGGGGAAUAUUGCACAAUGGGCGAAGGCCUGAUGCAGCGACGCCGCGUGAGGGAUGACGGCCUUCGGGUUGUAAACCUCUUUCAGCAGGGAAGAAGCGAAAGUGACGGUACCUGCAGAAGAAGCGCCGGCUAACUACGUG